AUGCCUGGUUCGUCGUCGUCGGCGUCAUACGAGAAGGCCAAAGAGGUCAUGGCCAUGGCCACGUCCGUCGCCGCGUCCAUGAUGCUGGUGCGCAGCCUCGCCAACGACCUGAUCCCGCCCGAGGCGCGCAGCCUGCUCUCCUACUGCCUGAGCGGCCUGCAGUCCCGCAUGGCGUGGCGCCACACCAUUGUCGUCGAGAAGACCGACGGGUAUUACACCAACAACGUCUUCUACUCCGUCAAGACCUACCUCGCGUCGCGCAUGGAGAACGACAACGCCACCCGCGACGUGCAGCGCCUGCGCCUCAGCAGCGGCGGCUUUGGCCUGGACGACGAGGACGACCCCGAGAAGCUCGUACUCGGUAUGGAGGAGGGCGAGGAGAUGAUCGAGGUCUACCAAGGCGCCGAGUUCAGAUGGAGCCUCCACUCCCACGACCUCCCCGGCGACUCCUCCACCACCCUCGGCCGCGGCGGCGGCAGGCAGUACUACGAGCUCACCUUCCACAAGAAGCACAAGGAGAAGGCCAUCAAAGCAUACGUCCCCCACAUCCUCGCCACCGCCAAGGAGAUAAGGGACAAGGACAGGCCUCUCACCAUCUACAUGAACGACGGCUCCGACUGGUCUCCCAUGGACCUCAACCACCCCUCCACCUUCGACACGCUCGCCAUGGACCGCACGCUCAAGCGAUCCGUCAUCGACGACCUCGACAAGUUCAUCAAGAGAAAGGCAUACUUCAAGAAGAUCGGCAAGGCCUGGAAGAGGGGCUACCUGCUCCACGGCCCGCCCGGCAUCGGCAAGUCCAGCCUCAUCGCCGCCAUAGCCAACCACCUCAGGUUCGACAUAUACGACCUCGAGCUCACCGGCGUCCACAGCAACUCCGACCUCAGGAAGCUUCUCAUCGGGAUGACCAACCAGUCCGUCCUCGUCAUCGAGGACAUCGACUGCACCAUUGACCUCAAACAACGAGAUGAUGAUAGUAACACUUCUUCUAGCACCACCAAGGACGACAACAACAAGCAGGUAACCUUGUCCGGGCUUCUCAACAUCAUCGACGGCCUAUGGUCCACCAGCGGGGAGGAGAGGAUCAUCGUCUUCACCACCAACUACAAGGACCGUCUCGACCCCGCGCUUCUACGGCCCGGCAGGAUGGACAUGCACGUCCACAUGGGAUACUGCACCACCGAGGCCUUCAGGAUUCUCGUCAACAACUAUCACUCCAUCGACUACCAUGCCACCUAUCCACAGAUCGAGGCGUUGAUGGAGGAGGUGGAAGUGACGCCUGCAGAGGUCGCCGAGACCUUGAUGAGGAGCGAAGAACCAGAUGUCGCCCUCCAUGCUCUUAUCGAGCUCCUAAAGUCAAAGAAAGAAUUGUUGGCAGAAUCUGCCACUACCAGUACGGAUCAGGAGGAGGAUUGUGAUCGUGCUAAGGAGGACGAGGAGGAUUCCGAUGAUGCCAAGGAUAAUAGUGGCGAUGAUGAUAACGAAGCUGAAAGCUAG
RNAcentral lists this ribosomal RNA (1497 nucleotides) under Triticum aestivum (bread wheat). RNAcentral's name for it is "partial small subunit ribosomal RNA". The record is from RNAcentral. Lineage: Eukaryota; Viridiplantae; Streptophyta; Magnoliopsida; Poales; Poaceae.